RNAcentral lists this ribosomal RNA (439 nucleotides) under uncultured bacterium. RNAcentral describes it as "bacterial SSU rRNA". It matches the Rfam family "Bacterial small subunit ribosomal RNA", at positions 87 to 518 of the family's 1533-position model. The record is from RNAcentral.
GGUGGCGACCGGCGCACGGGUGCGUAACGCGUAUGCAACCUGCCCCCCAUCAGGGGAAUAGCCCGCCGAAAGGCGGAUUAAUGCCCCAUAGGCCCAGGGCGCCGCAUGGCGCUAUGGGUAAAGCUCCGGCGGAUGGGGAUGGGCAUGCGUGCCAUUAGCUAGUUGGGGCGGUAACGGCGCACCAAGGCGACGAUGGCUAGGGGGUCUGAGACGGAUGGUCCCCCCACACUGGUACUGAGACACGGACCAGACUCCUACGGGAGGCAGCAGUGAGGAAUAUUGGUCAAUGGGCGGAAGCCUGAAAACCCAGCCAUGCCGCGUGCAGGAUGACGGCCCUACGGGUUGUAAACUGCUUUUCCCCGGGAAGAAUAAGCCCCUCGUGAGGGGUGGUGCCGGUACCGGGGGAAUAAGGAUCGGCUAACUCCGUGCCAGCCGCGGC